CCAUACAACUCUGUUUUUUAUAUAAGACAACAGACAUUUACGGAACUGACGAUGAUGAAGAAGGCAUAUACUACAUACAAAGCCGACAUAGAAUAUAUAUUUCACAUAAUUUAUAUAAAGUACUCUUUAAAGUACAAGGGAAACAUACAUUCAGAAGAAACAAGGCUUCAAGUCACUACUAUUAUUAUAUUACAGACUGGAGUGUAAUUGACGAAGAGAAAAAGAAGGCCAAGAAAGCCUAUUAAGCUCUGCGAAUUGGUUUUCUGAUACUGUAAUCCACAAUUCCCUUGCCACCAUAAAUUAGAGCGGCUUGGUUGCUAUCGAUGACUGGCUCCCUGAUAUUGACGACUUGGGGGCCACGGUAUUGAUUGUAGUAGUCAUACUGACGAUACUGACGAUGGAGUUGAUAUUGAUGAUCAUAUCCUUGAUGAGCAGUAGGAAGCCUUGCUCCAGACUUCUUGGGCCGCUCGUAGAAUUCGUCUAAGAGAGCAAAGCCCUCCAAGCCAACAUCAAUCAGCUUGUCUUUCUGAUGUUUUUGAGGUGCCAUUACCAGUAAGAGCACAAGAAACUUACUUUAAUUUGAAACUAAGCAAGAGAAGCUUUUGUUUCUUGUUUGUCUUGCAAGUAAAAUUUGAGACUUAGCUCCUCCUUAUAUAGGAAAUUGACCGUAGAGCCUUCUAUGUAUAGCUUCACUUUAUGACAAUAAAAAUAGAAAAAGGGAUAGAGGCAACUAGCCUCUCUCCAAAACUUAAC
This 753-nucleotide long non-coding RNA is filed under the name Citrus sinensis (sweet orange). RNAcentral's name for it is "long non-coding RNA (CSIN_LNC003733)". The record is from RNAcentral. Lineage: Eukaryota; Viridiplantae; Streptophyta; Magnoliopsida; Sapindales; Rutaceae.